Molecule: non-coding RNA, 22 nt
Filed under: Mus musculus (house mouse)
Lineage: Eukaryota; Metazoa; Chordata; Mammalia; Rodentia; Muridae
Source: RNAcentral
UGACUUCUGAUAGGCCUUGGCA